Molecule: long non-coding RNA, 622 nt
Filed under: Homo sapiens (human)
Lineage: Eukaryota; Metazoa; Chordata; Mammalia; Primates; Hominidae
Description: non-protein coding lnc-CSRNP2-2:1
Source: RNAcentral
GGCGCUGGCUCCCGGAAUAUGGAGCCCUGGGCGCGGGGGCGGCGUGUCAGGUGGUUGCGGAGCUGGUAAGAAUCAUAUUCUAAGAACUCAGCCACUCAGGUAUCCACCAUGGUGCUGGGUCCUGAACAGAAGAUGUCAGAUGACAGUGUUUCUGGAGAUCAUGGGGAGUCUGCCAGUCUUGGUAACAUCAACCCUGCCUAUAGUAAUCCCUCUCUUUCACAGUCCCCUGGGGACUCAGAGGAGUACUUCGCCACUUACUUUAAUGAGAAGAUCUCCAUUCCUGAGGAGGAGGUUAGUAUCAGGUCCUUGGAGGAGAACACUAUUGUCUGGGGAAAACCUGUGAGUGAAAGAUCUGCUGGAUGGCUCAAGUUCAGCAGCCUCAGGUUUAAUUUUGGCUGGCAAUCUCUGAAGACUAUAUCUAUAUAUCUAUAUAUAUAUAUACACACACACACACACACACACACCCCAUCUAUAUCUAUCUAUCUCUGUCUGUCUGUCUGUCCGUCUAUCUAUCUAUCUAUCUAUCUAUCUAUCUAUCUAUCUGUCUAUCUAAUCUUUUUUACAGACAGGGUCUUGCUCUGUCAUCUAGGCUCCAGUGCAGUGGCACAACCAUAGCCCACUG